RNAcentral lists this ribosomal RNA (492 nucleotides) under uncultured bacterium. Its description in RNAcentral is "partial 16S ribosomal RNA". It matches the Rfam family "Bacterial small subunit ribosomal RNA", at positions 29 to 507 of the family's 1533-position model. The record is from RNAcentral.
AGUGAACGCUGGCGGUAGGCCUAACACAUGCAAGUCGAACGGCAGCACAGUAAGAGCUUGCUCUUACGGGUGGCGAGUGGCGGACGGGUGAGGAAUACAUCGGAAUCUACUUUUUCGUGGGGGAUAACGUAGGGAAACUUACGCUAAUACCGCAUACGACCUACGGGUGAAAGCAGGGGAUCUUCGGACCUUGCGCGAUUGAAUGAGCCGAUGUCGGAUUAGCUAGUUGGCGGGGUAAAGGCCCACCAAGGCGACGAUCCGUAGCUGGUCUGAGAGGAUGAUCAGCCACACUGGAACUGAGACACGGUCCAGACUCCUACGGGAGGCAGCAGUGGGGAAUAUUGGACAAUGGGCGCAAGCCUGAUCCAGCCAUACCGCAUGGGUGAAGAAGGCCUUCGGUUUGUAAAGCCCUUUUGUUGGGAAAGAAAAGCAGCAGGUUAAUACCCCGCUGUUCUGACGGUACCCAAAGAAUAAGCACCGGCUAACUUCGUG